RNAcentral lists this ribosomal RNA (497 nucleotides) under uncultured bacterium. Its description in RNAcentral is "partial 16S ribosomal RNA". It matches the Rfam family "Bacterial small subunit ribosomal RNA", at positions 28 to 507 of the family's 1533-position model. The record is from RNAcentral.
GACGAACGCUGGCGGCGUGCCUAAUACAUGCAAGUAGAACGCUGAAGAGAGGAGCUUGCUCUUCUUGGAUGAGUUGCGAACGGGUGAGUAACGCGUAGGUAACCUGCCUGGUAGCGGGGGAUAACUAUUGGAAACGAUAGCUAAUACCGCAUAAAAUUGAUUAUUGCAUGAUAAUUAAUUGAAAGAUGCAACUGCAUCACUACCAGAUGGACCUGCGCUGUAUUAGCUAGUUGGUGAGGUAACGGCUCACCAAGGCGACGAUACAUAGCCGACCUGAGAGGGUGAUGGGCCGUACUGGGCCGGAGACACGGCCCAUACUCCUACGGGAGGCAGCAGUAGGGGAUCUUCGGCAAUGGGGGGAACCCUGACCGAGCAACGCCGCGUGAGUGAAGAAGGUUUUCGGAUCGUAAAGCUCUGUUGUAAGAGGAGAACGGGUGUGAGAGUGGAAAGUUCACAUUGUGACGGUAUCUUACCAGAAAGGGACGGCUAACUACGUG